This 318-nucleotide ribosomal RNA is filed under the name uncultured eukaryote. RNAcentral's name for it is "partial 18S ribosomal RNA". It matches the Rfam family "Eukaryotic small subunit ribosomal RNA", at positions 1470 to 1796 of the family's 1831-position model. The record is from RNAcentral.
CCCUUAGAUGUUCUGGGCCGCACGCGCGCUACACUGAUGCAUUCAACGAGUCUAAAACCUGGUCUGAUAGGGCUGGGUAAUCUUUUGAAUGUGCAUCGUGAUUGGGAUAGAUGAUUGCAAUUCUUCAUCUUCAACGAGGAAUGCCUAGUAAACGCAAGUCAUCAGCUUGCAUUGAUUACGUCCCUGCCCUUUGUACACACCGCCCGUCGCUCCUACCGAUUUCGAGUGGUCCGGUGAACCUUUCGGACAGAGAGAGUCUCGUACAAUCUCUGAAAGUCAAGUAAACCACAUCACUUAGAGGAAGGAGAAGUCGUAACA